Molecule: ribosomal RNA, 497 nt
Filed under: uncultured bacterium
Lineage: Bacteria
Description: partial 16S ribosomal RNA
Rfam family: Bacterial small subunit ribosomal RNA
Source: RNAcentral
GAUGAACGCUGGCGGCGUGCCUAAUACAUGCCAGUCGAGCGAACGGACGAGAAGCUUGCUUCUCUGAUGUUAGCGGCGGACGGGUGAGUAACACGUGGAUAACCUACCUAUAAGACUGGGAUAACUUCGGGAAACCGGAGCUAAUACCGGAUAAUAUUUUGAACCGCAUGGUUCAAAAGUGAAAGACGGUCUUGCUGUCACUUAUAGAUGGAUCCGCGCUGCAUUAGCUAGUUGGUAAGGUAACGGCUUACCAAGGCAACGAUGCAUGGCCGACCUGAGAGGGUGAUCGGCCACACUGGAACUGAGACACGGUCCAGACUCCUACGGGAGGCAGCAGUAGGGAAUCUUCCGCAAUGGGCGAAAGCCUGACGGAGCAACGCCGCGUGAGUGAUGAAGGUCUUCGGAUCGUAAAACUCUGUUAUUAGGGAAGAACAUAUGUGUAAGUAACUGUGCACAUCUUGACGGUACCUAAUCAGAAAGCCACGGCUAACUACGUG